Cotesia glomerata is the source of this 176-nucleotide long non-coding RNA. RefSeq lists it as uncharacterized. The transcript has 3 exons. The record is from RefSeq and is a predicted model, not a curated record. NCBI's taxonomy places the organism in Eukaryota, Metazoa, Arthropoda, Insecta, Hymenoptera, Braconidae.
UUUUUAAAAAUAGUCAAUAUUGAAAUUCGGGGAUGAGGAUAGUUAAUGCGUUAGAGAAGUCUAUAAAGAAGACUUACACCAAAUUUCAAGUAAUUCGGUUCAGUAGAACUUGAGAAAUCGUGGGCAUCGUUUUAAAAAAGACAACUUUUCUAAGACAUUCCUAAAAUGACAAUUAA